GACAGAGGGUGCAAACGUUGUUCGGAAUUACUGGGCGUAAAGCGUGUGUAGGCGGUCCACUAAGUCGGGUGUGAAAGCCCUGGGCUCAACCCAGGAAGUGCACUCGAAACUGGCGGGCUAGAGUAUCGGAGAGGUUGGUGGAAUUCUCGGUGUAGAGGUGAAAUUCGUAGAUAUCGAGAGGAACACCGGUGGCGAAGGCGGCCAACUGGACGAAUACUGACGCUGAGGCACGAAAGCGUGGGGAGCAAACAGG
Molecule: ribosomal RNA, 253 nt
Filed under: uncultured bacterium
Lineage: Bacteria
Description: partial 16S ribosomal RNA
Rfam family: Bacterial small subunit ribosomal RNA
Source: RNAcentral